UCCGGUUUCACACCGGCAGUCUUCCUAGAGUCCCCAACUUAAUGAUGGUAACUAAGAAUAGGGGUUGCGCUCGUUAUUGGACUUAACCAGACAUCUUACGACACGAGCUGACGACAGCCAUGCAGCACCUAUCUCCUUGUGCCCGAAGGCAAAGCGCUAUCUCUAGCGUUGUCAAGGGAUGUUAAGGGUAGGUAAGGUUCUGCGCGUUGCUUCGAAUUAAACCACAUACUCCACCGCUUGUGCGGGCCCCCGUCAAUUCCUUUGAGUUUUAGCCUUGCGACCGUACUCCCCAGGCGGGAUACUUAAUGCGUUAGCUUUAGUACUCAGGACGUUAAAUUCCCGAACACCUAGUAUCCAUAGUUUACGGCGUGGACUAC
RNAcentral lists this unclassified non-coding RNA (377 nucleotides) under uncultured Oligoflexaceae bacterium. RNAcentral describes it as "contains 16S-23S intergenic spacer region". Lineage: Bacteria; Pseudomonadati; Bdellovibrionota; Oligoflexia; Oligoflexales; Oligoflexaceae. The record is from RNAcentral.